UCUUUGCAGACAGCCUUGUAGGUGAAGCUGCAGUAAGCUGUGAUCUUAACCCCAGAGAGUCCCAGUGGAGUUGUCUGUGUGCUGGUCAAGAGAAAACAGAUCACAUACAAACAGGCACACAUCUGGCACAGUAAUAAUAAAGGGAUGAAAAUGUAUGUAGAUGGGAAUGUCAAUUAGGCGUGGCCCUCAGGCUCUUGGCAAGAGGCCAGCGUGACCACUGAUGGCAAAAGAUAUGUGUGUUUCUCCUACGGGGAAUAUGAAAAUGAUUUUGGCUUGAAUGGCUCUGGGGACAUCACUGGGUGCAGCAUUUACGCAGACUAAACGAAAGAAUGGUAAAAGAGAGGGCAUCAAACAACAGGAAUUAUGAUAACUGAAAAUUUUGGAUCUGGUGGUAGCAUGCUGAGAAAAGAAAGUCCAGC
Molecule: long non-coding RNA, 419 nt
Filed under: Cyanistes caeruleus (blue tit)
Lineage: Eukaryota; Metazoa; Chordata; Aves; Passeriformes; Paridae
Description: lncRNA (ENSCCEG00000011695.1)
Source: RNAcentral